GGACAGAGGAUGGGAUAGGAGGUUUCUGAAGGGAAGACCUAAAAUGGGGAAAACAUUUGAAAUGUAAAUAAAGAAAUUAUCCAAUAAAAAAAGAAAAAAAAAAAGAAAACAUAAAGAGAGGCAGGAGACAUCUGAAGGAAAAAAAAAGAAUUUGGAUAAUGUAGUGUGGUUAAGUACAUGUGUGUUCUUAGCAUCUGAGAGGCACAGGCAGGCAGAUUAUGAAUUGAAGUCUGUCCUUGGCUAUAUGACCUUAUCUCAAAAAAUUAAAAGGGCAAAAGAAUUUUGUUCUUUACUGCAUAUUUUCAAAUGUGUAGCCAAUAUUUCACUAAAUGAUGGCAAGCUUUCCCCUUUCCUUUGGUUUGUAUUUGAGAAGGUAAUAGGUCACUUCAUAUCACAGUUUAGACUAUUUAAACAAAGCAAAUGGAGCACAUGUCUUGUGUAGCCAAUAUGCAAAUUUGGGGUAAUUAGUUCACAUUCAGAAGGAUAAGUGUACUUUUAGCUUCUGGAUUUAUUUCAAAGCUAUUUAGAUAAUGAAGAAGGUAGUGUAGUUUAAAGUGAAAAUAUAACAAUAAAUGUGUCCAUUCACUGAGACAUAAAGCUAGAUGAGUUAAAAUGGACUUGCAAGUAUUAAUAAGAGCUUAAAGGGUCAAAUGAAAGCUAAGGCAUACAAUUUAGUUCAUUUUUGCACUGAGGAGCUGUAGCCAACAGAGUUUAUAGUGCUGGCUGAAUGUCCUUAUCACCUUUGAAGAUGUCCACUUUAGUAAUUAUAAAUAUGUCUUUCAAUAUGAGUGCUGAUUAUUACUGGUAGCACACAUAAUUACAGAGAAAGUCUGGCUUAUUAUGAAGAACAAUUGUAUACCAGAAAUACUUUCAAAGUAAUUUAUUUAUUCCUGUGCUAUCUACAGUAAUUCAGUGUAAUUAGUAAGAAGUUGUUUUAUGCAGAUCACUUUCUCAAAGUACAAUUUAAUGAAAUAUUGAAAAGUCAAAUUUGAGUAAACAUCUUUUAUUUGCAAUCAUACAGUCACUCCUUCUGAUGGAAACUGAUACUUCAAAUUUAUUAAGUAGAAUUACUAUAUUGCAAGAGUAGCUAUUGUUUCAAAUUUGUAUGAGUUACAAUUUCUCUUUUAAUGAACGAGUGGGACUGUAAAUAUAAAUUAAAAAAUUUUAAUAGUAAACAAGUAAGGAAUCUUAUACUGUUAAUAUCAUCUUUUAUCCUUUUAAAGGAAGAACUGGUCUUGCAUUUAUAACCUGGGUUUACCAUAGGCUUAAUUACUUAUAUUAAGCAGUCUUAACCGAACCACCCAGAACUCCCAGAGACUAAGUUAUCAACAAAGAAGUACACAUGGCUCCAGCUGCAUAUGUCGCAGAGGAUGGCCUUGUCAUGCAUCAAUGGAAGGAGAGGUCCUUGGUCCUAUGAAGGCUCAAUAGAUGCCCCAGUAUGGAGGGCAGGGAAGUGGGAGUGAAUGGCUGGGUGGAGGAGCACCCUCAUAGAAGCAGGGGGAGGGAAACCAGGAAAUGGGAUAGCAUUUGAAAUGUAAAUAAAAAAAUAUCCAGUAAAAAAUUUAUGGUCAGUUUGAAAAAAAAUUCCUAGAAUAGUGAAGAAAGCUUUUAAAGAACUGUUUUAGAUGAGAUACAAUAAAGUGUGAAUGUUUAUGUUUGACUCAAUGAUUUUCAAUAACAUUGCAACUUUGCAACGUUCACCCUUUCUCAUUUUGGAAAAUAUGUUUAAACUACGAAUCUACAGAGACAUGGAUUCUGAUUUGAUUGAAUUUAUUGAAAAACCCCAUAUUCUUUUUGUAGUUGUGUGCAUAACAGUGAGAGACAGAGAUAGACCUUGCUAUAGAACUUGGUAUUUUCUCUGAGGAACAAUGGAGAGGAUGCUGAAGGAGUAGGGACAAGAGAACGCAGUUCAUGAAAAUACUGCAUGGACACGUUUCUUACACAAGUCUCCCUGUUUCAGAUGACCCUGGGGAAGGCUUAGAAGCCUGAAGCCUUGAGAAUGAUCUAGCAGCCCACAGGAAGGCUUCUCUCCAUCUCCAUGUUUAUGAUGGUGAUCACUAAUUACAUGGAAGACUUAGGGACUUUAACUGUAUCAGUUUUUAAAAAUGAUUAUUGUAUCUAUUAUUUUUCUCUCUAUUUCUCUAGAUGCAAACAACAUAUUGUUGGAGAAGGCUGUCCAUUUUAUUAAACAUUUAUGUUUAAGUUGGGAAUAUAUAAAUAAGUAUUGAUCUUCAUCAGAGCAUGAAUUGUGUUUGGAAAAAUUAUGGUCUGGCUAGCAUUUUAUUUUUAUGGAGAUCUUUCACUUCUCCUCUUUACAUUACAGAAUGUUAAAUAUUUCUUAAAUUGUCUUUAUGAUUCUAAGCACUGAUACCAAUACUAAACAUUUUUAAAACAUGAGUUAUAAAAAUUAUUUUCCUAUAUGUGGAUAUAUUUUUAAUUUAUUUAAAAGUAUAUAUUUGUUUAAAUUAUGUACAUUAUUAUUGAUGAAAAAUUUAAGUAUGUGCUAAUAAUUUUUGGAAUUAAAAUUGAAAACAGCAUAUAGUAUAACAUAUUACUGUAUCACAAAAUGUUCCUAUAAUUAGAACAUAUGAUGUAAUCUAUUGCCCUAUUUGUGGUCCUUUUCUUCUUUUUUGCUUGGCUUGGGACUACAUCAACUUUAAUUUUUAAAAUAUUAUUUAUGUUUGAUAUACUUGAACUGAAUGUGUUAUUUUACUUUUCAAAUGUAUGAAAGAAGAUGAUAUCUAAUGAUAUUCAUUUUAGAAAAAAAAAGCAACUUCACAUAGUCCUCAGUUUGUAGAUCUGUCCUACCUUUAAGUCCUAAGGAUGGACUUGUUGGGACUCAGAAAACUGACACCCAGGCUCUGAAAUCUGACAUCACUGAACUAAAUGAACACAAAAGUACGGGAAGCCUGCUCUCCCAACCUCCUUUUUCUGUUCUGAAAUUGAGGGAGUGGCUUCACCUGGAGCUGUCUUCCUAGUAGGAAGGCAGUUAGGAACUCUCAUUAACUUGGAAAGAUUAAUCACUGGGGAAAAGGAGACUGUGUUCAGGAUGUUCCACCUGUUUAGGCAUCGUCUGAUUGUCUGAGGGCAAGGGUGAGACGUUACCUAACAUACUUUGUGGACCUUGUAUGAUCACUUUUGUUUCUGUGUAUCUCUCCUUCUGUCUUCCCAGGACUUGUCAGCAUGAGCCUCCUUCCCUGUUCAAGCCUACGUUUUUUCAUGUAGCAACUAAAGUUAUUUAAGCUUCAAUCAUCUGAUUUUGAGAAACUGUAUUUUACUUACGUUUCUUACAUUCUGAUUCCCCUUAGACAGCUCAUACAUCAACAAAUGGGUGUAUCUUUUUCCUAUUAAAUGUGUGUAUUGUCAAUGUAUUUUAUGAUUGAUAUAAUUUCUAAUUACUUAAAACCAAAAAUUUAAUAAUUAGUAAGUGGAAAGAACCAUGGUAGAAAUAAUAAUUUAAUUGUUAAACUAGAUACUUGUCUCCUAAGAGUUUUAGGAAGGAGCCACAGCUGCUCCAACAGGCAUCUGCUCCAAUAUGACAACUGAAGAAACAAGAAUUGGUGAGCAGAGAGGGGUGAGAUCUAAUCGAUGUGGCCAUACUGAGAGAAACAGAUAAGGAAGUUCAGUAACCCCAAGUUCAUCUUUAGGGUACUGACAUAAGUUUUAAGUUUAAGUAGAGGAAGAGGGUAAGUGGUAUGGCCAAGGUGUGGUCUUGAUUACUGUAUGAAUUCUUCAAGGAGGUUCUACAAGGUGUUCCAAACAGGUCCUUAUUUCAGUCCUAUGGACAGGAUCCAUCUGGUUCCUUUAGAUGCUUACUGCUACUUCAGGGUGUACCCUCAUUUUGAUGUAUAAUUGCACUCAGCUGGGUGCUGGUCUGCUGGGUGAGGUUUUGCUUUUCCUGGAAGCUGUGGUGAUUGCAGGGCUGGGGCUUUGUCUGCCUCUGUGCCUUCAGCCUUGGAGGGGAUGGGAUGGUUUAGAUUGCUAGAUAAGACACUCCUUGAUUUCUUUACAUGCCUGGUGUAGAAGUAGGCAGGUGACGAAAGCUGAGAGAGAUCCAUACCACAUGAAAGCAGAUAUGCCAGACUUAUCCUUUUCUAGUUACCUUUUUCCCCAAAAUGAGGAGCCUGUGUUUUGCAAAGAAAAUGGUUUCUAAGUGCUUAUUACACGUGCAUUUUGUAGACACUUUACAGAGUCUACUUCAUCUAUAAAAACACAGCCAAUAUCACUAUAGCCUUAAUGUAGCAAACAUAUCAGUCAUUCGAUUAACCAAGUGUAGCCUGAAAUGACAAAGUUAAGGAGGAGUAAGCAAAGUGAGUAGUAAUUUUAGUAGGCUCAGAGUAAUUCAAUAAAGAAUAAAUUAAUUUGAAAUAUAAAUUCAUAAUCUAUUCCAUUCACAAAAUUAUACCAUCAUUUAUUGUUUGUAUGGCUUCCUUUGUGAACUUAUAGUAUUGCAUAUACAUAAAAAUUAAACCAAUCUUACCUUCUGGUUUGAGGAAUUAAAAAUUCUCUGAUGUUAGUGUUAACUUAUAAGUAUUUAUGUAACACAAAUAUUUAUCUUAUAGG
This 4563-nucleotide long non-coding RNA is filed under the name Mus musculus (house mouse). RNAcentral describes it as "long non-coding RNA chr1:44560884-44565447". The record is from RNAcentral. Lineage: Eukaryota; Metazoa; Chordata; Mammalia; Rodentia; Muridae.